CUCCUCCGCAAGCUGUCAACAAAGGAGAAGCAGGUGAGAGGUUUCGGGAUUCUGGAUGACAAUGUCUCGGUGCCCUCAAGGCCACUGAUUCCUCGCCACACAGUCUCAGUAACUCCGCAGCCUCUAGACACGGCUUUCCGGAAGCGGCCUGCAAGCUGGACCCCAGCGAGUUCGCAGGAUCUGCGUAGUCCCUGCUCGCGAUUAGAGCGCACACGAGUUUACUCCUGUCCAAGUAUUCUGAUAAGCUUCCUCUACUGCCCUCUCGUGGCCACAGUCCUCAGUGGUAUAAAUCUAAAAAACAACAAAAAUCACUGCGAAUACCUAAAAGCAAUUGCACCAAAUUCUUAGAGCAGUAGCGGCAGAAGAAACGAAGGGAGGGAAGGAUGAAGAAAGGGAGCCGGAGAAAAGAGAGAGAGAGAGGAAGAAGAAAAGGAAAUCUAGACUAACCAGUCAUCUCGAACAAUCGCACAUUCAACACAGGACUGGGGGAUCUAGGCUUUACUCCAACAUCUGCAGAAAUCAGCGAAUUCUUCAAAAGUUCUUCAUUGUAAUUAGCUGAAAUUUGUGUUCCUGUAACUUUCACUGGCUACUGCUAGUUUUGUCCUGUGGGACCACAAAGAAUCUGUCUAAGCUGUGUUGCCUGAUCCAUACCUGUUCUUUCCUUCAAACUUCUUUAGCAUUCAUUGUUGGUAACACACCAAUAAAUUAUCAUAUUUACCCUGUGU
This 725-nucleotide long non-coding RNA is filed under the name Homo sapiens (human). RNAcentral's name for it is "non-protein coding lnc-CD46-5:5". The record is from RNAcentral. Lineage: Eukaryota; Metazoa; Chordata; Mammalia; Primates; Hominidae.